GUGCCAGCAGCCGUGGUAAUACAGAGGGUGCAAGCGUUAAUCGGAAUUACUGGGCGUAAAGCGUGCGCAGGCGGUUAUGUAAGACAGAUGUGAAAUCCCCGGGCUCAACCUGGGAACUGCAUUUGUUACUGCAUGGCUAGAGUACGGUAGAGGGGGAUGGAAUUCCGCGUGUAGCAGUGAAAUGCGUAGAUAUGCGGAGGAACACCGAUGGCGAAGGCAAGCCCCUGGACCGGUACUGACGCUCAUGCACGAAAGCGUGGGGAGCAAACAGGAUUAGAAACCCGGGUAGUCC
Molecule: ribosomal RNA, 292 nt
Filed under: uncultured Delftia sp.
Lineage: Bacteria; Pseudomonadati; Pseudomonadota; Betaproteobacteria; Burkholderiales; Comamonadaceae
Description: partial 16S ribosomal RNA
Rfam family: Bacterial small subunit ribosomal RNA
Source: RNAcentral